GCCGGUGUAGCUCAGCGGUAGAGCAGCUGACUUGUAAUCAGCAGGUCGGGGGUUCGAUGCCCCCCGCCGGCUCCA
This 75-nucleotide transfer RNA is filed under the name bacterium. RNAcentral's name for it is "tRNA-Thr". It matches the Rfam family "tRNA". From Rfam's summary of the family: Transfer RNA (tRNA) molecules are approximately 80 nucleotides in length. Their secondary structure includes four short double-helical elements and three loops (D, anti-codon, and T loops). The record is from RNAcentral. RNAcentral also lists the same sequence under 3 other names.